Pelobates cultripes (western spadefoot toad) is the source of this 309-nucleotide non-coding RNA. Lineage: Eukaryota; Metazoa; Chordata; Amphibia; Anura; Pelobatidae. The record is from the annotation of a GenBank genome assembly.
CUUGUUAACAGUGUUCCCGCUGGGCUUGUGAUGUUCCCUGAUGGUCAAGUAACGCACUUCCAGCUUCUGCAAUGGCGGUUGUCAUUCAUUGGCUGCGACCAUUAGCUGACUGCUCUCGGGCCAAUGGCUGACAUUCUGUGAAAUGAAAGUUGCACAAAAUUGACAUUAGCCAGCCCAGAACUCUAGUUUUGAUCUGGCUGAUGACACCCGUAUGACGCUGCCAGAGGUGGAGUUACCCCUACUAAGUGGGCAGCUUAAUGGUUAAUCUCUGCAUGUGCAGCAUUUCAAACUCCUGGCACCAUGACCACU